AUCUUCGGGGCAGGGCGCAAUUCCCUACCGGCGGUACAGUCCGCGACCACUUUUAAAGUGAAUGAACCGGUGCAAUUCCGGUACCGACAGUGACAGUCUGGAUGAGAGAAGAU
RNAcentral lists this non-coding RNA (113 nucleotides) under bovine gut metagenome. Its description in RNAcentral is "FMN riboswitch (RFN element)". It matches the Rfam family "FMN riboswitch aptamer (RFN element)". Rfam says of the family: The RFN element is a highly conserved domain that is found frequently in the 5'-untranslated regions of prokaryotic mRNAs that encode for flavin mononucleotide (FMN) biosynthesis and transport proteins. The record is from RNAcentral.